This is a long non-coding RNA of Oncorhynchus kisutch (coho salmon), 2925 nucleotides long. The record is from Ensembl. NCBI's taxonomy places the organism in Eukaryota, Metazoa, Chordata, Actinopteri, Salmoniformes, Salmonidae.
UAGGAAUUUGUGGUUUUGAGUGGUUUAUUCCUGUUAAUGGGGAAAGGACAUGGUUAGGAAGCUACCAUCGAUCGCCAUGACAAUUCUCUCAGGUUGUUCACUCAGUAGCCUAAUGUCUGUAUGUAAACUGGUCUUAACCAGAAGGACAUAGAGCUGUGUUUUUUGUCUUUUAGAAUACAUAUUUUUUUUAUAUUGUUAUGAAGGAGGAUUUCAUUAAACAAGAAUAGUCUAGGGACGUUUAAAAAAUAAUAAUUCAAACACAUAGCCAGUGGCCAAGAUGCUACAUUUCAGUGGCCAAGAUGCUACAUUUCAGUGGCCAAGAUGCUACAUUCCAGUGGCCAAGAUGCUACAUUCCAGUGGCCAAGAUGCUACAUUCCAGUGGCCAAGAUGCUACAUUCCAGUGGCCAAGAUGCUACAUUCCAGUGGCCAAGAUGCUACAUUCCAGUGGCCAAGAUGCUACAUUCCAGUGGCCAAGAUGCUACAUUCCAGUGGCCAAGAUGCUACAUUCCAGUGGCCAAGAUGCUACAUUCCAGUGGCCAAGAUGCUACAUUUCAGUGGCCAAGAUGCUACAUUCCAGUGGCCAAGAUGCUACAUUCCAGUGGCCAAGAUGCUACAUUCCAGUGGCCAAGAUGCUACAUUCCAGUGGCCAAGAUGCUACAUUCCAGUGGCCAAGAUGCUACAUUCCAGUGGCCAAGAUGCUACAUUCCAGUGGCCAAGAUGCUACAUUUCAGUGGCCAAGAUGCUACAUUCCAGUGGCCAAGAUGCUACAUUCCAGUGGCCAAGAUGCUACAUUCCAGUGGCCAAGAUGCUACAUUCCAGUGGCCAAGAUGCUACAUUUCAGUGGCCAAGAUGCUACAUUUCAGUGGCCAAGAUGCUACAUUUCAGUGGCCAAGAUGCUAUAUUCCAGUGGCCAAGAUGCUACAUUCCAGUGGCCAAGAUGCUACAUUCCAGUGGCCAAGAUGCUACAUUUCAGUGGCCAAGAUGCUACAUUCCAGUGGCCAAGAUGCUACAUUCCAGUGGCCAAGAUGCUACAUUCCAGUGGCCAAGAUGCUACAUUCCAGUGGCCAAGAUGCUACAUUCCAGUGGCCAAGAUGCUACAUUCCAGUGGCCAAGAUGCUACAUUCCAGUGGCCAAGAUGCUACAUUCCAGUGGCCAAGAUGCUACAUUCCAGUGGCCAAGAUGCUACAUUCCAGUGGCCAAGAUGCUACAUUCCAGUGGCCAAGAUGCUACAUUCCAGUGGCCAAGAUGCUACAUUCCAGUGGCCAAGAUGCUACAUUUCAGUGGCCAAGAUGCUACAUUCCAGUGGCCAAGAUGCUACAUUCCAGUGGCCAAGAUGCUAUAUUCCAGUGGCCAAGAUGCUACAUUCCAGUGGCCAAGAUGCUACAUUCCAGUGGCCAAGAUGCUACAGUGGCCAAGAUGCUACAUUCCACAUUUCAGUGGCCAAGAUGCUACAUUCCAGUGGCCAAGAUGCUAUAUUCCAGUGGCCAAGAUGCUACAUUCCAGUGGCCAAGAUGCUACAUUCCAGUGGCCAAGAUGCUACAUUCCAGUGGCCAAGAUGCUACAUUCCAGUGGCCAAGAUGCUACAUUCCAGUGGCCAAGAUGCUACAUUCCAGUGGCCAAGAUGCUACAUUCCAGUGGCCAAGAUGCUACAUUCCAGUGGCCAAGAUGCUACAUUCCAGUGGCCAAGAUGCUACAUUCCAGUGGCCAAGAUGCUACAUUCCAGCAGGUUCCUGCUCCUUUAGAAAACAAGAGAAUCUCCUCACAGGUCAUCUGUUACCAUGCUCCUCACAGGUCAUCUGUUACCAUGCUCCUCACAGGUCAUCUGUUACCAUGCUCCUCACAGGUCAUCUGUUACCAUGCUCCUCACAGGUCAUCUGUUACCAUGCUCCUCACAGGUCAUCUGUUACCAUGCCCUUCACAGGUCAUCUGUUACCAUGCUCUUCACAGGUCAUCUGUUACCAUGCUCCUCACAGGUCAUCUGUUACCAUGCUCUUCACAGGUCAUCUGUUACCAUGCCCUUCACAGGUCAUCUGUUACCAUGCCCUUCACAGGUCAUCUGUUACCAUGCCCUUCACAGGUCAUCUGUUACCAUGCUCCUCACAGGUCAUCUGUUACCAUGCUCUUCACAGGUCAUCUGUUACCAUGCCCUUCACAGGUCAUCUGUUACCAUGCUCCUCACAGGUCAUCUGUUACCAUGCUCCUCACAGGUCAUCUGUUACCAUGCCCUUCACAGGUCAUCUGUUACCAUGCUCCUCACAGGUCAUCUGUUACCAUGCUCCUCACAGGUCAUCUGUUACCAUGCUCCUCACAGGUCAUCUGUUACCAUGCUCUUCACAGGUCAUCUGUUACCAUGCUCUUCACAGGUCAUCUGUUACCAUGCUCUUCACAGGUCAUCUGUUACCAUGCUCUUCACAGGUCAUCCGUUACCAUGCUCCAUCUGGACAUUACAGGAGAGUCAUAUUCACUGGGAACAAAAUGGAAGCAAGUGAGCCAGAACUGCAAGGGUCUAUCUGAACUUGUCCAGUGUAGAAACGUUUUUAAUUUUUUUCCCAAUUGCGAAACGUUUUGCUACAGUGUGCACGAAUGAAUAUGAUCCUGGUAAACCGAGAGGGUGUUUGGGGUCUGCCUCUCUCUUUCUCCGUGUUCACACAGGCUUCUUCUUCUUCUUGUGACUCCGGCUCAGCUAGGAGAGCUGGACGUUCUGGAUGGGGGACUGGCUUUAAAGUUGCACUAUGCAGAAAUUGCUCCCAUCACUUCCUGGUUGUUAAAUUCUAAUAGUUUUGCAUUAUUUCAGGUUGUGACAAAACGAGCAAGUGUGUAAGUGUAGAGAAUCAUUGUGCUUCUCUUAACAGCUCUAAAAUAUAUUUUCCAUAACUAAAAAGAUGUUGUAUUUUCAGCUUUUUGUGAAGCUGGUGUACAAAACGG